Microcebus murinus (gray mouse lemur) is the source of this 1391-nucleotide non-coding RNA. Lineage: Eukaryota; Metazoa; Chordata; Mammalia; Primates; Cheirogaleidae. The record is from RefSeq and is a predicted model, not a curated record.
AAAAAAACAAGUGAGAGGUAAUGGAAAUCAGAAAAACAGGAAGGAGAAAGCCGUUAUAGAAAAACAAUAAGGAGGAAAUCGUUACAGAAAAAUAACCAGGGGAAGCAGUUAUUUCAAUCUUAAAGAAUGGUCUAAUCAGGCCAUAGAACACUGACCACCAGGUUAUGGCACUUUUCCCACCACACGUAUGCUAGAAAAAAUGACUGAAACAUAACCUGUAACUCAUGUCCAUACUUGGAAAGAAUUCAGUCCCCAAAACAGUGAUGUAUAGUUAUGAAUAAUUAUAACUAACCUUUACCUAAACUACUAACCUAUAAAAGGAAAAACAUCAAAGUAGACAGUGUAUUCUCCACUUGCAGAGACAGACCCAUUUCCCCUUUGGAAAUGUACUUUUCCUUUGCACCCUUAAGCUUUAUUCACAAUAGAUUCUCCAUGCAUACUUGCUGAGUAUCUGUCAUCUUUCUCUAUCACAUGGGCCAAGCCUGGAGCCCAAGAACUGUGGUAACACUUCAAAGUCCAGCUGGGUACUGAAUCAGGGUCUGGUGCUUGCUCAGGCUAGUCUUGAACUCCUGACCUCAAGCAAUCCUCCCACCUCAGCCUCCGAGAACGCUAGGAGUGAGCCACUGCCUUGGCCUACUGUCUUAGGCCCUCCCUGUAUCCAACCUGAAUCAUCACUAAGCCCAUUCCCUAAACAUUCUCUCACUUGCUGCUCUCCACAUCCCUGCCACAUACACCAUUCUUGACCCUGCUGUCAAAGUAGUAUUUCUAAAAUGGAAAUCUGAUCUGGUUACUUGCCAAUUGAAAAUGUCAAUGGUUCUCUUAAGCUUUGUCUAGGAAAUUCCUAAUCUGGGGUCUAUAUGUAGAACUGAAUUUCAAUAUAAUUCUGAAUUCUUCCAAUAACAGGAAUGAGCUUGGAAGAGGAUCCCAAACAUCAGAUGAGAAAACAGUGCCACUUCUGAAAUCAGCCAUUUUUCCAAGAGUCCUUGUUAAAGGAAAGUGAUGUCUAGAUAUCACAAUCGGGGAUCUGGAACUGCUCACUGCAGCACUUUCCUACCAAGGAUUUUGUGAUUCUGAGAGAGCACAGGAUUCUGCAGAGAGUUCUGUGCAUGUGGCCGGCUCCCCUGUGGGCACACCUUCCUUCUGGAGCGCUGGGUGGUGGGAAGAACUGGACAGAUAACUGUGCCAGAGGCAGUCUGCUGGCUCACAGGACAAGGAAUGCUCCUCUCUGAGCAGACAGGAGGCAGAGCCGCAGCAUGGAUCCCGUGGCCUGUGCCUUCCUCCCAACCGUGCUGAGGGCAGCCGGCCUCUAAAUGUUUAUGAACAGAAAAAGAAGAGUUGGAAAGGGUAGGGCAGCGGACUUUGCUCUUGUUUAUAAACACUGCACUAAUUGA